AAUACUUCAUUUAGUUCCAUGAACAAAAUCUAAAGUUGACUUAUAGACAGGUACAAAAAAAUCAAUCCUCUUUUGCAAUCCGGAACUCAUUUUUCAGUAUAAGUUUUACUAUAAGAAGGGGUAUU
This 125-nucleotide small nucleolar RNA is filed under the name Macaca fascicularis (crab-eating macaque). RNAcentral's name for it is "Small nucleolar RNA SNORA40 (ENSMFAG00000056474.1)". It matches the Rfam family "Small nucleolar RNA SNORA40". From Rfam's summary of the family: The snoRNA ACA 40 belongs to the H/ACA family of snoRNAs and guides the pseudouridylation of 28S rRNA subunit at position U4565. NB This family has a high threshold value to exclude a large number of closely related sequences that do not appear to have conserved H and ACA boxes, and may be pseudogenes. Lineage: Eukaryota; Metazoa; Chordata; Mammalia; Primates; Cercopithecidae. The record is from Rfam by way of RNAcentral.